GGCCAUAUCACAUUAAAAAACACCAGUUCCUGUACAAUCACCGAAGUUAAGCAACAUUGAGAAGGUCAGUACCUAGAUGGGUGACUACUUGGGAAUACCAAGUGCUGUU
This is a non-coding RNA of Acanthosepion pharaonis, 109 nucleotides long. The record is from the annotation of a GenBank genome assembly. Lineage: Eukaryota; Metazoa; Mollusca; Cephalopoda; Sepiida; Sepiidae.